This 373-nucleotide ribosomal RNA is filed under the name uncultured bacterium. RNAcentral's name for it is "bacterial SSU rRNA". It matches the Rfam family "Bacterial small subunit ribosomal RNA", at positions 28 to 403 of the family's 1533-position model. The record is from RNAcentral.
AUUGAACGCUGGCGGCAUGCUUUACACAUGCAAGUCGAGCGGCAGCGCGGGGGCAACCCUGGCGGCGAGCGGCGAACGGGUGAGUAAUGCAUCGGAACGUGUCCCGUAGUGGGGGAUAACGCCGCGAAAGCGGCGCUAAUACCGCAUAUGCUCUACGGAGGAAAGUGGGGGACCUGCAAGGGCCUCACGCUAUGGGAGCGGCCGAUGUCCGAUUAGCUAGUUGGNGGGGUAAUGGCCUACCAAGGCGACGAUCGGUAGCUGGUCUGAGAGGAUGAUCAGCCACACUGGGACUGAGACACGGCCCAGACUCCUACGGGAGGCAGCAGUGGGAAUUUUGGACAAUGGGGCAACCCUGAUCCAGCCAUGCCGCGUG